AUGAACGCUGGCGGCGUGCCUAAUACAUGCAAGUCGAGCGAACAGACGAGGGGCUUGCUCCUCUGACGUUAGCGGCGGACGGGUGAGUAACACGUGGAUAACCUACCUAUAAGACUGGGAUAACUUCGGGAAACCGGAGCUAAUACCGGAUAAUAUAUUGAACCGCAUGGUUCAAUAGUGAAAGACGGUUUUGCUGUCACUUAUAGAUGGGUCCGCGCCGCAUUAGCUAGUUGGUAAGGUAACGGCUUACCAAGGCAACGAUGCGUAGCCGACCUGAGAGGGUGAUCGGCCACACUGGAACUGAGACACGGUCCAGACUCCUACGGGAGGCAGCAGUAGGGAAUCUUCCGCAAUGGGCGAAAGCCUGACGGAGCAACGCCGCGUGAGUGAUGAAGGUCUUCGGAUCGUAAAACUCUGUUAUUAGGGAAGAACAAAUGUGUAAGUAACUAUGCACGUCUUGACGGUACCUAAUCAGAAAGCCACGGCUAACUACGUG
This 496-nucleotide ribosomal RNA is filed under the name uncultured bacterium. RNAcentral's name for it is "partial 16S ribosomal RNA". It matches the Rfam family "Bacterial small subunit ribosomal RNA", at positions 29 to 507 of the family's 1533-position model. The record is from RNAcentral.